GAAUAGUGUGUUAUAUAACAGGAUAUAGAAGAGGCAGAUCAUUAUUUUCACACUCCAUCACAGCAGGUGGCGGUAUGCACCUUUAAAGUUGGUUCGUAACCCGCCAUUAAACCAAAAGAAGAAGAUGAAGAUCGUAACGUCAGCUCAUUGUAAGCAAUAGGUAAUUACUCGCUCACAAGCUUAUGAAUAAUUAUAUUGCAGCGAAUGCGUUACGACAGGCACUGUCAUUGUGUGAAUAAUUAAUGAUAUAGUGAUCCAAGCAUUACGUCGAGUUUGCCGUAAGCUUACCUCAUAGCCAUCAUAAGCCAGGUACGCUGACGGAAGGGUAACGUAACCACACGGAAGAGCCAAAAAGUACUAUGGAGGAAUACAAACGCAAAAGCAGCAGCAGUAACAACAACAGAAAACAGUUUUGUUAGAUAAAUGGCCUUGGGCAAAAGUCUUUAUAACUGCAAUAACAUAAGUUAGUGGAAACAGUGUCAGGCUUUCCCAGAUGGAGACAAUAUAGUGAGGUAAAAUUUUAGUGCUGUUUAAAUGAAUGCGUUGUGUUUGUUAUUCAUUUAAAAAUAUGAACAUAAAGUUAUGACUCAUGACAAACUGGCAAGAGAGUAAAUAACACAGAUCUGUCCAAAUAUGAGGGAAACUAUAUUCCUUUGUAGGCCUACUGUGUAGCAUUAUUAGAAUUAUUCACCGAGUGUUUAUUCACAAGAUUGACCGAAGCUUAUUUAGAUGACCAAAUUAUGAACAAUGACCCACCCUGAGGCUGUAAGAGUGUGCCUGAUGAGAGAAUGUGUACUUGAAGCAGUUAUAGGACUUAAUAUAUUCAAGAAGACCAAGCGAUCCUUAUAGGACUACAUGCAAAGCAAUGUACUCCAGACCGCACAACUGGACAUACAGAUUGUGCCCUGAUGCCAUCUGCCCCGUUCUCCCAGCCUCAUCUUCCCUCUCUAUGCCUAGCUUCACAUCGGUUGGCUCUCUUCAUCCCGUCUGCCUGCCUCGCUGCUCUCCCUGAUAACAUUUCCUGACUGAUGCCUUGCACUCUGACUCUUUCUGCAAGGUGCCAUUCUCAGCAGUGACUCAAUUUAGUGCCACCCUGCUGCUUGGCAUUGCACUUCUGAGGUCAUCACCAUCUUUCUUCAGCCAACCAAAAUGAUUCUCACCAACCACCCCAGCUCUGCUAAGCUUGAUGUUGGAGGUCUGCUGUUUUUGAAGCAGGGGACCACUGUCCAUUAAAGGCUUCAUAAACCAUUUAACAAAAUCACAUAAGAUAUAGUUCAUACUCCAUGCGAUGUGCCAUACAAUGGAAGGGCCAUGUUCCUUAUCACAUCUGGAUACUGCAAAGCUCCUGUCUCCUCAACAAUUUACGAACUAAUCAAUUAUUAAAUGAAGAAAUGCUAUGGAAAAGCAAAGAUAUUUCUUCCUGUGGACUUUGAGUCUUAAAUUUAGUAAUUACUGUUUAAUGGCAUAAAUAAAAGUUAAAUAUUAUGUUAUUUUAAAAGCAUCAUGUAUCUUUCUUCAUUCCUAAUGUAUUCUACUAGUAGUGUGUCAGGCACUUUAACCCUUAUGAAAAAAGCCAAGGAAAAUAGAGAGCAUCAUAUCAAAACAACUGUUUAUUUGCACAUGCAACAUUAAACUAUGGUAUACAUCUCUGUUUUCAUUACAAUAUUGAA
Molecule: long non-coding RNA, 1670 nt
Organism: Paramisgurnus dabryanus
Lineage: Eukaryota; Metazoa; Chordata; Actinopteri; Cypriniformes; Cobitidae
Source: RefSeq, a predicted model, not a curated record